This is a non-coding RNA of Mandrillus leucophaeus (drill), 128 nucleotides long. NCBI's taxonomy places the organism in Eukaryota, Metazoa, Chordata, Mammalia, Primates, Cercopithecidae. The record is from Ensembl.
UGAGUACGGCGGGGUGGCGGGGGGUCCCUUUCUUCCUCAGCCAAGGCUGAAGACAAAGAUCAGAUCUUGAGGAUCAUUUUUAAGACUGCCAUGUGCUGGGAAACCUUGUUUUCCUACCCCAGACAUUU